AACGAACGCUGGCGGCAGGCCUAACACAUGCAAGUCGAGCGCACCUUCGGGCGAGCGGCGGACGGGUUAGUAACGCGUGGGAACGUACCCUUUUCUACGGAAUAGCCUUUGGAAACGAAGAGUAAUACCGUAUACGCCCUUUGGGGGAAAGAUUUAUCGGAGAAGGAUCGGCCCGCGUUAGAUUAGAUAGUUGGUGGGGUAACGGCCUACCAAGUCUACGAUCUAUAGCUGGUUUUAGAGGAUGAUCAGCAACACUGGGACUGAGACACGGCCCAGACUCCUACGGGAGGCAGCAGUGGGGAAUCUUAGACAAUGGGCGCAAGCCUGAUCUAGCCAUGCCGCGUGAGUGGUGAAGGCCUUAGGGUCGUAAAGCUCUUUCGCCUGUGAUGAUAAUGACAGUAGCAGGUAAAGAAACCCCGGCUAACUCCGUGCCAGCAGCCGCGGUAAUACGGAGGGGGUUAGCGUUGUUCGGAAUUACUGGGCGUAAAGCGCACGUAGGCGGAUUGGAAAGUUGGGGGUGAAAUCCCGGGGCUCAACCCCGGAACUGCCUCCAAAACUAUCAGUCUAGAGUUCGAGAGAGGUGAGUGGAAUUCCAAGUGUAGAGGUGAAAUUCGUAGAUAUUUGGAGGAACACCAGUGGCGAAGGCGGCUCACUGGCUCGAUACUGACGCUGAGGUGCGAAAGUGUGGGGAGCAAACAGGAUUAGAUACCCUGGUAGUCCACACCGUAAACGAUGAAUGCCAGUCGUCGGGCAGUAUACUGUUCGGUGACACACCUAACGGAUUAAGCAUUCCGCCUGGGGAGUACGGUCGCAAGAUUA
Molecule: ribosomal RNA, 819 nt
Filed under: uncultured marine bacterium
Lineage: Bacteria
Description: bacterial SSU rRNA
Rfam family: Bacterial small subunit ribosomal RNA
Source: RNAcentral